GACAGAGGGUGCAAACGUUGUUCGGAAUUACUGGGCGUAAAGCGCGUGUAGGCGGCUAUGUAAGUCGGGCGUGAAAUCCCACGGCUCAACCGUGGAAGUGCACCCGAAACUGCGUAGCUAGAGUCCUGGAGAGGAAGGUGGAAUGCUUGGUGUAGAGGUGAAAUUCGUAGAUAUCAAGCGGAACACCGGUGGCGGAGGCGGCCUUCUGGACAGUGACUGACGCUGAGACGCGAAAGCGUGGGGAGCAAACAGG
Molecule: ribosomal RNA, 253 nt
Filed under: uncultured bacterium
Lineage: Bacteria
Description: partial 16S ribosomal RNA
Rfam family: Bacterial small subunit ribosomal RNA
Source: RNAcentral